GACACCAUGAUUGUGCAUAUUAAAUGCAUCUCGCAACAUACCUUCCAUGUCAUCCCCUCUAUCAGACUGAUGGUAAGCAGGACCAGAGUAAGAUACAUCCAUCGUUGAAGAAGAAGUACUAGGCGGGCAUUCUCCAUGAAAUAACCAUUGUUUAUAACCCCGAACAAACCCAUCAACAAUUAGAUGCUCGUAUACAACCUCACGACAAUGCCAGUUUAUGUUGACACACUUCUUACACGGGCAAAGAAUCAUGUUCUCCUGGCUUGCAUAUUGAAAUGCAAAAUUUAGAAAAUAUUGUACUCCAUUUCGAUAACCGUUGCUAACCCUUGAUAAAUUCAUCCAAGACCGGUCCAUUUCUUAAUUCUUGAAGUCUGACGUUGACAAUAAUUUGCACGGGUAAGUUAAAACGCCAGUUAUAACCAUAAAUGAAUUACAGA
Molecule: long non-coding RNA, 437 nt
Filed under: Gossypium raimondii (Peruvian cotton)
Lineage: Eukaryota; Viridiplantae; Streptophyta; Magnoliopsida; Malvales; Malvaceae
Description: long non-coding RNA (GRAI_LNC005851)
Source: RNAcentral